UUGUCUCAAAGAUUAAGCCAUGCAUGUCUCAGUACAAGCCAAAUUAAGGUGAAACCGCGAAAGGCUCAUUAAAUCAGUUAUGGUUCCUUAGAUCGUACCCACAUUUACUUGGAUAACUGUGGUAAUUCUAGAGCUAAUACAUGCAAACAGAGUUCCGACCGGAGACGGGAGGAAUGCUUUUAUUAGAACAAAACCAAUCGGCGGCGGGCGCGCUCGCGCGUCCGUUUGCCGCUCAAUUUGGUGACUCUGAAUAACUUUCGGCUGAUCGCACGGUCUCGCACCGGCGACGCAUCUUUCAAAUGUCUGCCUUAUCAACUGUCGAUGGUAGGUUCUGCGCCUACCAUGGUCGUAACGGGUAACGGGGAAUCAGGGUUCGAUUCCGGAGAGGGAGCCUGAGAAACGGCUACCACAUCCAAGGAAGGCAGCAGGCGCGCAAAUUACCCACUCCCGGCACGGGGAGGUAGUGACGAAAAAUAACGAUACGGGACUCAUCCGAGGCCCCGUAAUCGGAAUGAGUACACUUUAAAUCCUUUAACGAGGAUCAAUUGGAGGGCAAGUCUGGUGCCAGCAGCCGCGGUAAUUCCAGCUCCAAUAGCGUA
RNAcentral lists this ribosomal RNA (599 nucleotides) under Dytiscus latissimus. RNAcentral describes it as "SSU rRNA". It matches the Rfam family "Eukaryotic small subunit ribosomal RNA", at positions 32 to 601 of the family's 1831-position model. The record is from RNAcentral. Lineage: Eukaryota; Metazoa; Arthropoda; Insecta; Coleoptera; Dytiscidae.